UACGGAGGGUGCAAGCGUUGUCCGGAUUUAUUGGGUUUAAAGGGUGCGUAGGCGGCCAAAUAAGUCUGGGGUGAAAGCCCGCUGCUCAACAGCGGAACUGCCCUGGAUACUGUAUGGCUUGAGGACAGACGAGGUUGGCGGAAUAGAGGGUGUAGCGGUGAAAUGCAUAGAUACCCUCUAGAACCCCGAUUGCGAAGGCAGCUGACUAGACUGUAUCUGACGCUGAGGCACGAAAGCGUGGGGAGCGAACAGG
This 253-nucleotide ribosomal RNA is filed under the name uncultured bacterium. RNAcentral describes it as "partial 16S ribosomal RNA". It matches the Rfam family "Bacterial small subunit ribosomal RNA", at positions 524 to 776 of the family's 1533-position model. The record is from RNAcentral.